Molecule: long non-coding RNA, 622 nt
Organism: Dermacentor albipictus
Lineage: Eukaryota; Metazoa; Arthropoda; Arachnida; Ixodida; Ixodidae
Source: RefSeq, a predicted model, not a curated record
UUGAUUUUUGCUUUGCUAUGUUUGUCGCUAAGUCCGCGCGUGCACUGCAUAGCAUUUUUAUUUUUACAAAUGAUGCAGCUGUCAUUACUUCACGUGUACCAACAACAAUUCGAUACCGUUAAUUAUUGCGGGGAACGCGACCUCAACCACAGUGCGCCUCAAUCAUCAUUGUUUCUGAGCUCGUGACGCAACCCCAACCGAACGAAGCUGACAACAAGGAAGAUUCCACAGAGCGGUGCCAUGUUGUUCAUGCUCUUGUUCGCCGUUGUCCUGAUGGUGUUUGGAGCCGUGGUCUUCUACAAGGCUCGGGCGAGCGGCCGCGAAUUGUGGAACAAGUGCUGCGGAAAGCAGGAAGAGAACGUCUGAGGCUCGAGAGGAGUCGGGAUGCCUCGGCGGUCGUUGUCCGGUCCUCGUCGUCGGAGCGACGCGCCGUGGGAGGAGGCACCCGGUCGCCACCCGCGGCUGGGCCUCGGUUGUUUGUUGAUCAUCUCUGCGUCCGCUGGCUGCGCCUCGUUUUAUCGCCCCUUGAUCCUGAAGACCCAUCUGAGAGUUUUUUCGCCCGUGCAUUAAAAGAAGUUACACGGCAGCCGCGCACACUUGCCGGCUGCCGCUUGCGCCCGUG